UAUCUCUCCGUACGGGGAAGGAUGAGAAGCUUCGACUAAGGUUCGAUUCGAGCGCAGCGAGAAAGCGUUGCCGUAGGCAACGACCCGAAGGG
Molecule: small RNA, 92 nt
Filed under: Salmonella enterica
Lineage: Bacteria; Pseudomonadati; Pseudomonadota; Gammaproteobacteria; Enterobacterales; Enterobacteriaceae
Also listed under: 2 other names
Description: partial RtT sRNA
Rfam family: RtT RNA
About the family: This family represents a bacterial cis-regulatory element known as RtT RNA.
Source: RNAcentral